This 223-nucleotide long non-coding RNA is filed under the name Elaeis guineensis (African oil palm). Its description in RNAcentral is "long non-coding RNA (EGUI_LNC041332)". Lineage: Eukaryota; Viridiplantae; Streptophyta; Magnoliopsida; Arecales; Arecaceae. The record is from RNAcentral.
GUUCCUAUUCGUCGGCCGACUGCUGUCGUCGGCAAUGUCGUGAUGGAGCACCACCCAGCUGCCACCACCCUUGGUUGCCGUUGGCCUCUUUGUUGAUGAGACAGAGACGGAGGGAACAAGGGGAUUGUCCCGUGUUUUGGAAGAAAAGUUUUUUAAGGGGGUAAAAGAGAGUCAUGCCUCUCUCUUUUUUUUCUCUCUUCACUCAACUUUUUUUUAUUAGACA